This 59-nucleotide transfer RNA is filed under the name Leptopilina boulardi. RNAcentral describes it as "tRNA-Ser". Lineage: Eukaryota; Metazoa; Arthropoda; Insecta; Hymenoptera; Figitidae. The record is from RNAcentral.
GAAACAACUUAUAUUUAAAUUUCUAAUUUAAAUUAAAAUAAUUUUUUAUUUUUGUUUCU